Molecule: transfer RNA, 72 nt
Filed under: Stegodyphus mimosarum
Lineage: Eukaryota; Metazoa; Arthropoda; Arachnida; Araneae; Eresidae
Rfam family: tRNA
About the family: Transfer RNA (tRNA) molecules are approximately 80 nucleotides in length. Their secondary structure includes four short double-helical elements and three loops (D, anti-codon, and T loops).
Source: Rfam by way of RNAcentral
ACUUUCGUGGUGUAACGGUUAGCGCACUCGGCGCGUAUUCGAGAGGUCCAGGUUCGAGUCCCAGCGAAGGCA